This 497-nucleotide ribosomal RNA is filed under the name uncultured bacterium. RNAcentral's name for it is "partial 16S ribosomal RNA". It matches the Rfam family "Bacterial small subunit ribosomal RNA", at positions 28 to 507 of the family's 1533-position model. The record is from RNAcentral.
GAUGAACGCUGGCGGCGUGCCUAAUACAUGCAAGUCGAGCGAACAGACGAGGAUUUUGCUCCGCUGACGUUAGCGGCGGACGGGUGAGUAACACGUGGAUAACCUACCUAUAAGACUGGGAUAACUUCGGGAAACCGGAUCUAAUACCGGAUAAUAUAUUGAACCGCAUGGUUCAAUAGUGAAAGACGGUUUUGCUGUCACUUAUAGAUGGAUCCGCGUCGCAUUAGCUAGUUGGUAAGGUAACGGCUUACCAAGGCUACGAUGCGUAGCCGACCUGAGAGGAUGAUCGGCCACACUGGAACUGAGACACGGUCCAGACUCCUACGGGAGGCAGCAGUAGGGAAUCUUCCGCAAUGGGCGAAAGCCUGACGGAGCAAUGCCGCGUGAGUGAUGAAGGUCUUCGGAUCGUAAAGCUCUGUUAGUAGGGAAGAAGAAAUGUGUAAUAAACUAUGCACGUCUUGACGGUACCUAAUCAGAAAGCCCCGGCUAACUACGUG